UACGUAGGCAGCGAGCGUUGUUCGGAGUUACUGGGCGUAAAGAGUGCGUAGGCGGUGUACCAAGUCUGUUGUGAAAUCUCCCGGCUCAACUGGGAGGGUGCGGCGGAAACUGGGACACUGGAGUACGGGAGAGGUAAGCGGAAUUCCUGGUGUAGCGGUGAAAUGCGUAGAUAUCAGGAGGAACACCUGCGGUGUAGACGGCUUACUGGACCGUAACUGACGCUGAGGCACGAAAGCGUGGGUAGCAAACAGG
This 253-nucleotide ribosomal RNA is filed under the name uncultured bacterium. Its description in RNAcentral is "partial 16S ribosomal RNA". It matches the Rfam family "Bacterial small subunit ribosomal RNA", at positions 524 to 776 of the family's 1533-position model. The record is from RNAcentral.